GCCACCGCAAAGCCUCUAUCAGGCGGCACUUAGCCGAAGGAUAGAUUUGAGCACAACACACCCGCCGGCCGAUUCGUGGAACACCUCGCCGCUGUUGGCUGUUGAUGCCAUGGCGGCGCGGUCGCUGUGGCAGCUGGAGGACGCGAUCAUCGCGAGGCUCCGCACCUGCGCCACUUUCCGGGACCUCCUCCGAGCGCACGGCCUCGCCGUGCGGUUGUGCCUCUCGCAGAGCAGCUACGUUGCCACCCAGAUCGUGCACAUCUGCAACGCCCACGGCCGCGCCGCGCACGCCGCGCGGGUUUUCGCCCAGAUCCCCGCCCCGAACCUCCACCUCCACAACGCCAUGAUCAAGGCCUACGCGCAGAACCACCUCCACCGCGACGCGGUCGAGGUCUACGUCCGCAUGCUUAGGUGCCUCCCGCACCCUUCGACUGCUGGCUUCUCCGUCGGCGACCGGUUCACGUACCCGUUCCUCCUCAAGGCCUGCGGCGCCCUCGCUGCUUCUCGGCUCGGCAGGCAGGUGCACGCGCACGUGGCGAGGUCCGGGUGCGAGUCACACGCUGUCGUACAGAACUCCCUGAUCGAGAUGUACACGCGCUGCGGGGAUCUGUCGACCGCACGCAAGGCGUUCGAUGGAAUGCGGGAGAAGGACGUGGUCUCCUGGAACACGCUCAUCUCCGCGCACGCGAGAAUGGGGCAGAUGAGGAGGGCACGGGAGUUGUUCUAUUCGAUGCCCGACAAGACCGUGGUUUCCUGGACCGCCUUGGUGUCCGGAUACACCGCCGUUGGGGACUUCACAGGUGCAGUAGAGGUGUUCAGGCUGAUGCAAAUGGAAGGAUUCGAACCAGAUGACGUGAGCAUCGUCGCGGUGCUGCCGGCCUGUGCCCAGCUUGGCGCUCUGGAGCUUGGCCGGUGGAUAUAUGCUUACUGCAGCAAGCACGGCAUGCUGGGAAAGGUAUACAUUUGCAACGCGCUGAUGGAGAUGUACGCGAAGUGCGGGUGCAUCGAGGAAGCGCUGCAGCUGUUCCACGGCAUGUCCGAGAAGGACGUCAUCUCAUGGAGCACAGCGAUCGGCGGCCUCGCGGCACACGGGAGAGCACGCGAGGCUGUCAGGUUGUUUGAGGUGAUGGAUAGAGAAGGAAGGGUGAUGCCAAAUGGCAUCACAUUCGUGGGGCUCUUGUCGGCCUGCUCCCACGCGGGCCUCGUGGACGAAGGCCUGCGCUACUUGGAUCAAAUGAAGGAAGAUUAUGGUGUGGAACCCGGCGUCGAGCACUAUGGCUGCGUCGUCGACCUCCUCGGCCGGUCAGGGCGAAUCCAACGCGCGCUCGACACCAUACGAGGCAUGCCGGUCCCUCCAGAUGGCAAGAUAUGGGGGUCGCUGCUCAGCGCUUGCCGCAGCCAUGGCGACGUCGAAACAGCCGUGGUGGCGGCCGAGCGGCUCGUCGAGCUGGAGCCAGGGGACGUGGGCAAUCUCGUCAUGCUGGCCAACGUGUACGGCGCUGCAGGCCGAUGGGGCGAAGUGGCGAGUACGAGGAAGGAGAUACGGAGCCGGAGCACGAGGAAGACGCCCGGGUGCAGCAUGAUUGAGGUGGACAACGUGGUGCGCGAGUUCGUCGCCGGGCAGGACCUGGGGCCUGAGUUGGGAGGCAUUGCUACCGUACUGGAUAUCCUUGCCUCGAAGCUUGCCGACGAUGAAGAAUUAGUUGAUUCAGAUUGUGGGGAUGCCAUUGUGUUUGUUAGUGGGUAGUACUGAUACUAUAUUGGAAGAGGUGGUCCGAUGGUGGAAUGGGAGAGGAGAAUAACAUCAGGAGAGCUAGUAAAUGGCGAUAGCUUUCAGGUGUUGUUCUGGUCUUUGACCAAAGAUUCAUUUCCUGGAUAGCUUCCAUCAGUGUUGUGGAGUCGAUGGCUAUGGUCCCGUCUCAUUACUCAGCCUUCUACCUAUGCUCCAGUGGAGGGGCUUUACCUCUAUGGUGGACGGUGGUGUCGGUACAGGGAAGAUGAUGCUUAUCGAUCUGUCCUAUGAACAGCUGUAAGUCUCCGUCACACUACUUUGUGAUGGUGUUCCAAAGUUUUGGUCUAGUAAUAGAGCAACAGCUUAUCAGUUCGUCACACUGAUUGAUCACUGAUGUAUGGUUCUUGCUUUCUUUCAGUCUCUCACUUUAUUACGUUCAAGUUUGUCUCAGCCUCAAUAUGUGCAGACAACCAUUUGUUCUGUAUUUGAACUUUGUGCCAUCUAAAAAGUUCAACAUUCAGUGUGGUUGACUUAAGGAGGUUUUUAUCAUAGAAUAAAUCUGGUACCACCU
RNA transcript from Zea mays, 2303 nucleotides. RefSeq lists it as uncharacterized. NCBI's taxonomy places the organism in Eukaryota, Viridiplantae, Streptophyta, Magnoliopsida, Poales, Poaceae. The record is from RefSeq and is marked validated. The transcript is spliced from 2 exons.